UCAACGCCGGCUGGCAUAAAAGGCGGUGCACACACCAUACUUUACCAUAGAUCGCACAGUGUUCCUCGAAGUAAACAUUGCAAGAUUGAACCAUGGACCUAAAGAAAAUGAAGUACCUCGCUUUGUUGCUGAUGGUUUUGUGUCUGGCCAAGGCAUUCAGUAUCGAGAGCGAAGAAGACCCCGAGCUGGAAAUAGAGGAACCUGUCGCCACCAUGAACGAUGAACCUAAUCCUGCGAUACUAAACGAGGGAGAAAACGGUAAG
Long non-coding RNA from Pocillopora damicornis (cauliflower coral), 263 nucleotides. Lineage: Eukaryota; Metazoa; Cnidaria; Anthozoa; Scleractinia; Pocilloporidae. The record is from RefSeq and is a predicted model, not a curated record.